Molecule: ribosomal RNA, 482 nt
Filed under: uncultured bacterium
Lineage: Bacteria
Description: partial 16S ribosomal RNA
Rfam family: Bacterial small subunit ribosomal RNA
Source: RNAcentral
AUUGAACGCUGGCGGCAUGCCUUACACAUGCAAGUCGAACGGUAACGGGCCUUCGGGUGCCGCCGAGUGGCGAACGGGUGCGUAAUACAUCGGAACGUGCCCGAUCGUGGGGGAUAACGAGGCGAAAGCUUUGCUAAUACCGCAUACGAUCUACGGAUGAAAGCAGGGGACCGCAAGGCCUUGCGCGGACGGAGCGGCCGAUGGCAGAUUAGGUAGUUGGUGGGAUAAAAGCUUACCAAGCCGACGAUCUGUAGCUGGUCUGAGAGGAUGAUCAGCCACACUGGGACUGAGACACGGCCCAGACUCCUACGGGAGGCAGCAGUGGGGAAUUUUGGACAAUGGGCGCAAGCCUGAUCCAGCCAUGCCGCGUGCAGGAUGAAGGCCUUCGGGUUGUAAACUGCUUUUGUACGGAACGAAAAGCCUUCUUUUAAUACAGGAGGGUCAUGACGGUACCGGAAGAAUAAGCACCGGCUAACUACGUG